This 497-nucleotide ribosomal RNA is filed under the name uncultured bacterium. RNAcentral's name for it is "partial 16S ribosomal RNA". It matches the Rfam family "Bacterial small subunit ribosomal RNA", at positions 28 to 507 of the family's 1533-position model. The record is from RNAcentral.
GAUGAACGCUGGCGGCGUGCCUAAUACAUGCAAGUCGAGCGAACAGACGAGGAGCUUGCUCCUCUGACGUUAGCGGCGGACGGGUGAGUAACACGUGAAUACCCUACCUAUAAGACUGGGAUAACGUCGGGAAACCGGAGAUAAUACCGUAUAAUAUCUUAAACCGCAUUGUUCAAUAGUGAAAGACGGUUUUGCUGUCACUUAUAGCUGCAUCCCGGUCGCAUUAGCUAGUUGCUAAGGUAACGGCUUACCAAGGCAACGAUCCGUAACAGACUUGAGAGGGGGAUCGGCCACACUGGAACUGAGACAGGGUCCAGCCUCCUACGGGGGGAACCAGUAGGGAAUCUUCGGCAAUGGGCGAAGGCCUGACGGAGCAACGCGGCGUGAGGGAUGAAGGUCUUCGGACCGUAAACCUCUGUUAUUAGGGAAGAACAAAUUUGUAAUUAACUGUGCACGCCGUGACGGUACCUAAUCAGAAAGCCACGGCUAACUACGUG